Molecule: non-coding RNA, 173 nt
Organism: Gossypium arboreum
Lineage: Eukaryota; Viridiplantae; Streptophyta; Magnoliopsida; Malvales; Malvaceae
Source: Rfam
UAUUAAAAAUUCUAUCUAUUUUUACUGUUAAGUGCUGAUGUAGUUGAUGGAACAACCAAAUAGUGACACUUGGAGUGUCAUCUCUGUACCAUGUGCUAACAUGGAGGGACUAAUUCAGGUAACCAGACAGUAAUACGCCAUCUUAACAAUAUAAAUCAAUGGAAUUUUUAAUA